AUGCAAGAAGAAGAAGGAGAGGAUGAGGCUGGUUCUCAACCUAUGGAACCCUAUGUUGGCAUGAGGUUUGACAGCCUUCAAAUUGCUAAGGAUCACUACAACAGCUACGCACUACGGAUGGGUUUCUCUAUCAAGAUGAACACAUCUAGACGGACACCCCACACCAAUGAAUUGAUAAAACAACAGUUUUGCUGCAACAUGGUCAAGAAGCCCAAAGCUGAUGAUGAAGGAGCUGAGGCUCCUCCUGUCCUGGACCCUAUUCUAGAUCCAAAAUCUGUUGACAGUGAUGAGGAGAUGGAAGACGAACCUCCAAUAUUUGCUGAAGAGGAGGCUGGUACUAGUAAGAAGAAGAAGAAGCGCAAACGCAAGACAAUAAAGCGGACUCAGUGCAAAGCGAAAAUGUUGGUGAAGCUGAUAGAUGGGUGA
Molecule: ribosomal RNA, 426 nt
Filed under: Triticum aestivum (bread wheat)
Lineage: Eukaryota; Viridiplantae; Streptophyta; Magnoliopsida; Poales; Poaceae
Description: partial small subunit ribosomal RNA
Source: RNAcentral